RNAcentral lists this ribosomal RNA (1447 nucleotides) under uncultured organism. RNAcentral's name for it is "SSU rRNA". It matches the Rfam family "Bacterial small subunit ribosomal RNA". The record is from RNAcentral.
GAACGCUAGCUACAGGCUUAACACAUGCAAGUCGAGGGGCAGCAUGGUCUUAGCUUGCUAAGGCCGAUGGCGACCGGCGCACGGGUGAGUAACACGUAUCCAACCUGCCGUCUACUCUUGGACAGCCUUCUGAAAGGAAGAUUAAUACAAGAUGGCAUCAUGAGUCCGCAUGUUCACAUGAUUAAAGGUAUUCCGGUAGACGAUGGGGAUGCGUUCCAUUAGAUAGUAGGCGGGGUAACGGCCCACCUAGUCUUCGAUGGAUAGGGGUUCUGAGAGGAAGGUCCCCCACAUUGGAACUGAGACACGGUCCAAACUCCUACGGGAGGCAGCAGUGAGGAACAUUGGUCAAUGGGCGAGAGCCUGAACCAGCCAAGUGGCGUGAAGGAUGACUGCCCUAUGGGUUGUAAACUUCUUUUAUAAAGGAAUAAAGUCGGGUAUGGAUACCCGUUUGCAUGUACUUUAUGAAUAAGGAUCGGCUAACUCCGUGCCAGCAGCCGCGGUAAUACGGAGGAUCCGAGCGUUAUCCGGAUUUAUUGGGUUUAAAGGGAGCGUAGAUGGAUGUUUAAGUCAGUUGUGAAAGUUUGCGGCUCAACCGUAAAAUUGCAGUUGAUACUGGAUAUCUUGAGUGCAGUUGAGGCAGGCGGAAUUCGUGGUGUAGCGGUGAAAUGCUUAGAUAUCACGAAGAACUCCGAUUGCGAAGGCAGCCUGCUAAGCUGCAACUGACAUUGAGGCUCGAAAGUGUGGGUAUCAAACAGGAUUAGAUACCCUGGUAGUCCACACGGUAAACGAUGAAUACUCGCUGUUUGCGAUAUACUGCAAGCGGCCAAGCGAAAGCGUUAAGUAUUCCACCUGGGGAGUACGCCGGCAACGGUGAAACUCAAAGGAAUUGACGGGGGCCCGCACAAGCGGAGGAACAUGUGGUUUAAUUCGAUGAUACGCGAGGAACCUUACCCGGGCUUAAAUUGCAGAUGAAUUACGGUGAAAGCCGUAAGCCGCAAGGCAUCUGUGAAGGUGCUGCAUGGUUGUCGUCAGCUCGUGCCGUGAGGUGUCGGCUUAAGUGCCAUAACGAGCGCAACCCUUGUUGUCAGUUACUAACAGGUUCCGCUGAGGACUCUGACAAGACUGCCAUCGUAAGAUGUGAGGAAGGUGGGGAUGACGUCAAAUCAGCACGGCCCUUACGUCCGGGGCUACACACGUGUUACAAUGGGGGGUACAGAGGGCCGCUACCACGCGAGUGGAUGCCAAUCCCCAAAACCUCUCUCAGUUCGGACUGGAGUCUGCAACCCGACUCCACGAAGCUGGAUUCGCUAGUAAUCGCGCAUCAGCCACGGCGCGGUGAAUACGUUCCCGGGCCUUGUACACACCGCCCGUCAAGCCAUGGGAGCCGGGGGUACCUGAAGUGCGUAACCGCGAGGAGCGCCCUAGGGUAAAACUGGUGACUGGGGCU